This 430-nucleotide ribosomal RNA is filed under the name Bacillota bacterium. Its description in RNAcentral is "Firmicutes bacterium partial 16S ribosomal RNA". It matches the Rfam family "Bacterial small subunit ribosomal RNA", at positions 355 to 776 of the family's 1533-position model. The record is from RNAcentral. Lineage: Bacteria; Bacillati; Bacillota.
UGGGGAAUAUUGGACAAUGGGGGGAACCCUGAUCCAGCCAUGCCGCGUGUGUGAAGAAGGCCUUCUGGUUGUAAAGCACUUUAAGCGAGGAGGAGGCUCUCUUGGUUAAUACCCAAGAAGAGUGGACGUUACUCGCAGAAUAAGCACCGGCUAACUCUGUGCCAGCAGCCGCGGUAAUACAGAGGGUGCGAGCGUUAAUCGGAUUUACUGGGCGUAAAGCGUGCGUAGGCGGCUUUUUAAGUCGGAUGUGAAAUCCCCGAGCUUAACUUGGGAAUUGCAUUCGAUACUGAGAAGCUAGAGUAUGGGAGAGGAUGGUAGAAUACCAGGUGUAGCGGUGAAAUGCGUAGAGAUCGGGAGGAAUACCGAUGGCGAGGGCAGACAUCUGGCCUAAUACUGACGCGGAUGUACGAAAGCAUGGGGAGCAAACAGG